This 78-nucleotide transfer RNA is filed under the name Bradyrhizobium sp. C-145. RNAcentral's name for it is "tRNA-His". It matches the Rfam family "tRNA". From Rfam's summary of the family: Transfer RNA (tRNA) molecules are approximately 80 nucleotides in length. Lineage: Bacteria; Pseudomonadati; Pseudomonadota; Alphaproteobacteria; Hyphomicrobiales; Nitrobacteraceae. The record is from RNAcentral.
GCGCCCGUAGCUCAGAUGGGAUAGGGCAUCAGACUAUGAAUUUGAGGGGCGGGCGUUCGAAUCGUUCCGGACGCGCCA